ACAUUGGUGGUUCAAUUGUAGAAUUCUCGUCUGUCAUACAGGAGACCUGGGUUCAAUUCCUGGCCAACGCA
This 71-nucleotide transfer RNA is filed under the name Loxodonta africana (African savanna elephant). It matches the Rfam family "tRNA". Rfam says of the family: Transfer RNA (tRNA) molecules are approximately 80 nucleotides in length. Their secondary structure includes four short double-helical elements and three loops (D, anti-codon, and T loops). Further hydrogen bonds mediate the characteristic L-shaped molecular structure. tRNAs have two regions of fundamental functional importance: the anti-codon, which is responsible for specific mRNA codon recognition, and the 3' end, to which the tRNAs corresponding amino acid is attached (by aminoacyl-tRNA synthetases). tRNAs cope with the degeneracy of the genetic code in two manners: having more than one tRNA (with a specific anti-codon) for a particular amino acid; and 'wobble' base-pairing, i.e. permitting non-standard base-pairing at the 3rd anti-codon position. The record is from Rfam by way of RNAcentral. Lineage: Eukaryota; Metazoa; Chordata; Mammalia; Proboscidea; Elephantidae.